GAAGUAUCUUGGUUGGCCAAUCAUGUUAAUGAGCGGGAAGAUGCAUCCAAGCACAUUACUCCUGCUCCUCGCAAGAUCUCAGAGUCUGACAGCACUGGUGAAGUUGAAGACACAUUUGAGUUCAUAGAGAAUCCACCACAGGUGAAGUUUAAACUCAAGAAGAACAAAAUGGGUCCAAGGAGUGUUUCUCUUCAGACUAUUGCCACAGAUGGCGAGGAUGGCCCGAGAGGGCGGAGACGGAACCAGAAGAAGACCUGUAUUCAGUCCUGAGGUAUCUGUGCCAGAGGAAUCAACCAGAACGUGUGCUUAUACAGUAGAUCAGGAUUUUGGAUACUAGUACUGGUUUCAAAAAGAAUAUUAACAGUAUAUACAGUAAAAAAAAAAAAAGAGGAAAUUUUCUUAAUUAUGUUCAGUUUGGAAAAGACGUGGAUAGUGAUUCUCCCUACAAUAAUAUUGAUUCAGCUGUCAGCUGAAAAACUAAAUGUUGAUGCUGUGAUUUUAAAUGGAAGUGCUGCUGACACUGCGAGGAGAUGGUGUCAGAAAAAAAACAAAUGACUGAACUAUAGUGCGCAUACAGUGAUCAUGUGACCUCCUGCCAGUUACAGAGCUCAUGGGUGGACUGCAGAGAUCUAUGAAUGAAAGAGUCUGAAAAUGUAGCAUGUUACACAUAUUUCCUAUUUACCCAGUCCUAAUCAGUUGCACUCACCCAAUCCUCAAGUCUGUGGGAAAAGUUCCACAGCAAAGCUGACAGAUUACAAAUGAAAACAUGACUGAUCAGUUACCAUUAAAGGUGUGGUAUCUUUUACCAUUGCUCAACAAAAUUCAGCCAUUUCACUAGGAAUCUGUAAGAUUGGGAGAUUUGCUUGAGGGUGAAAAGGUUCCCCAUGCAGGUUUAAUUGGUUCACCUGAAAUCGCUGCAUUUGUGUUUAAGCUGCUUGGUUUGAAAGUGACUUUGAAACCUUUAAACCUUUUUGCACUUGAAAUUUUGCUGAAAUUUUGUUAGUGUGACAUCAUCUUAAUUAUAUCAAUGUGUUCAAAAAAUAAAUAAAAAUACAGUCCAGCAAUGUAAAACUUGUGGCUUUAUGUUUGCAUGGAAUGAUUUGUACACUUUUAUAAUUUUAUAAAUAUAAUUUUCUGUACUGUUCCUUUAAGGAUUCACACACAACACAUUUUUGAUUUUACAGAUGCAAAAACAACACAGCGGAAUGUUUAAGAACGUCUUGAGAAGGGGUUUUUAUAAUAAAAAGCAUACAUCUGUUUUGCAUUUUUACAUAAAAAAAUAGCAACGCAGCACAGUGGAAGGCAAAAAAAUGUGUUCUGUGUGAAUUUAUGGCUUAUGGAAAUAAUAGAUGUUAUGCAACUGUUUUUUUGUUUUUUGUUUUUAGGUCAAGAGUGCCAAUAAAUAAAGUGAGGUGGCCUUAAAUAUA
Long non-coding RNA from Cyprinus carpio (common carp), 1427 nucleotides. RefSeq lists it as uncharacterized. The record is from RefSeq and is a predicted model, not a curated record. The transcript is spliced from 2 exons. NCBI's taxonomy places the organism in Eukaryota, Metazoa, Chordata, Actinopteri, Cypriniformes, Cyprinidae.